CGGGACGUGGCGCAGUCUGGAAGCGCACCUGAAUGGGGUUCAGGGGGUCGGAAGUUCAAAUCUUCUCGUCCCGACCA
Molecule: transfer RNA, 77 nt
Filed under: Deltaproteobacteria bacterium
Lineage: Bacteria; Pseudomonadati; Myxococcota; Myxococcia
Description: tRNA-Pro
Rfam family: tRNA
About the family: Transfer RNA (tRNA) molecules are approximately 80 nucleotides in length. Their secondary structure includes four short double-helical elements and three loops (D, anti-codon, and T loops).
Source: RNAcentral